Molecule: ribosomal RNA, 592 nt
Filed under: Saccharomyces cerevisiae (brewer's yeast)
Lineage: Eukaryota; Fungi; Ascomycota; Saccharomycetes; Saccharomycetales; Saccharomycetaceae
Description: partial large subunit ribosomal RNA
Rfam family: Eukaryotic large subunit ribosomal RNA
Source: RNAcentral
CACCCGGGGGAUUGGCCUUAGUAACGGCGAGUGAAGCGGCAAAAGCUCAAAUUUGAAAUCUGGUACCUUCGGUGCCCGAGUUGUAAUUUGGAGAGGGCAACUUUGGGGCCGUUCCUUGUCUAUGUUCCUUGGAACAGGACGUCAUAGAGGGUGAGAAUCCCGUGUGGCGAGGAGUGCGGUUCUUUGUAAAGUGCCUUCGAAGAGUCGAGUUGUUUGGGAAUGCAGCUCUAAGUGGGUGGUAAAUUCCAUCUAAAGCUAAAUAUUGGCGAGAGACCGAUAGCGAACAAGUACAGUGAUGGAAAGAUGAAAAGAACUUUGAAAAGAGAGUGAAAAAGUACGUGAAAUUGUUGAAAGGGAAGGGCAUUUGAUCAGACAUGGUGUUUUGUGCCCUCUGCUCCUUGUGGGUAGGGGAAUCUCGCAUUUCACUGGGCCAGCAUCAGUUUUGGUGGCAGGAUAAAUCCAUAGGAAUGUAGCUUGCCUCGGUAAGUAUUAUAGCCUGUGGGAAUACUGCCAGCUGGGACUGAGGACUGCGACGUAAGUCAAGGAUGCUGGCAUAAUGGUUAUAUGCCGCCCGUCUUGAACCACCGGACCC